RNAcentral lists this ribosomal RNA (497 nucleotides) under uncultured bacterium. Its description in RNAcentral is "partial 16S ribosomal RNA". It matches the Rfam family "Bacterial small subunit ribosomal RNA", at positions 28 to 507 of the family's 1533-position model. The record is from RNAcentral.
GAUGAACGCUGGCGGCGUGCCUAAUACAUGCAAGUCGAGCGAACGGACGAGAAGCUUGCUUCUCUGAUGUUAGCGGCGGACGGGUGAGUAACACGUGGAUAACCUACCUAUAAGACUGGGAUAACUUCGGGACACCGUAGCUAAUACCGGAGAAUAUUUUGAACCGCAUGGUUCAAAAGUGAAAGACGGUCUUGCUGUCACUUAUAGAUGGAUCCGCGCUGCAUUCGCUAGUUGGUAAGGUAACGGCUUACCAAGGCAACGAUGCAUAGCCGACCUGAGAGGGUGAUCGGCCACACUGGAACUGAGACACGGUCAAGGCUACUACGGGAGGCAGCAGUCGGGAAUCUUCCGCAAUGGGCGAAAGCCUGACGGAGCAACGCCGCGUGAGUGAUGACGGUCUUCGGAUCGUAAAGCUGUGUUAUUAGGGAAGAACAUAUGUGUAAGUAACUGUGCACAUCUUGACGGUACCUAAUAAGAAAGCCACGGCUAACUACGUG